Small nuclear RNA from Erinaceus europaeus (western European hedgehog), 101 nucleotides. The record is from Ensembl. NCBI's taxonomy places the organism in Eukaryota, Metazoa, Chordata, Mammalia, Eulipotyphla, Erinaceidae.
GUACUCACUUUGGCAGCACAUAUACUAAAAUUGGAACGAUACAGAGAAGAUUAGCAUGGGCCCUGUGCAAGGAUGAAAUUCGUGAAGCGUUCCAUAUUUUU